RNAcentral lists this ribosomal RNA (465 nucleotides) under uncultured bacterium. RNAcentral's name for it is "partial 16S ribosomal RNA". It matches the Rfam family "Bacterial small subunit ribosomal RNA", at positions 28 to 507 of the family's 1533-position model. The record is from RNAcentral.
GACGAACGCUGGCGGCGUGCUUAACACAUGCAAGUCGAACGGAAAGGCCCCUUUGGGGGUACUCGAGUGGCGAACGGGUGAGUAACACGUGAGUAACCUGCCCUUGACUUCGGGAUAACUCCAGGAAACUGGGGCUAAUACCGGAUAGGAAUCCUUGCUGCAUGGUGGGGGUUGGAAAGCUUCGGCGGUUUUGGAUGGACUCGCGGCUUAUCAGCUUGUUGGUGGGGUAGUGGCUUACCAAGGCUUUGACGGGUAGCCGGCCUGAGAGGGCGAACGGCCACAUUGGGACUGAGAUACGGCCCAGACUCCUACGGGAGGCAGCAGUGGGGAAUAUUGCACAAUGGGCGGAAGCCUGAUGCAGCAACGCCGCGGGCGGGAUGACGGCCUUCGGGUUGUAAACCGCUUUCAGCAGGGGCGAAGCUUGUGGUGACGGUACCUGCAGAAGAAGCACCGGCUAACUACGUG